AUGGGAGUGGUUGAACUUGUUUUAGUACCUGUACCAAACAAUAUGCUGCAGAUGAUUCGUUUUAAAAAAAAGGAACGUCUCGGAGAGCAAAUGAAGAAAGAACGCCAUCCUUUUGGCCUUGAAAAAAAAUUCUGUACUAACACUUUUUGCUCUUGUGUGAUGCAAAUACAUCACCAAGAAAAGAAAAUAAAAUUAAUCAACCAACAGAUUACGCAUCCUGGUUCUUUCAAUUAUGUACACUUUGAACAAUUUGGACAAAAAAAGAUCUCAAGCACACACGAACACACGCGUGGCAUCGUUGCUCACGCCCCUCUGUCCCUUCUCUGCCUCGGCGAGCCCCGGCUCUCGUUCCCUGCCGCCACCGAGCUCGCGUACUUCGGCGCCGCGCUCUCGGCGUGCACGGCCGAGCGCUGGCACUUCUUCCUGGCCGCGGCCGCCGAAGCGCUAGCGCCGCCGUCCUUGGCCUCCUCGCCGGCCUCCGCAGCCACAUCGGCCUUGUCCGCGACGGCCUUGGCCACCGGCGACGGCUCUGACGGCGCGGUGUAG
This 546-nucleotide ribosomal RNA is filed under the name Triticum aestivum (bread wheat). RNAcentral describes it as "partial small subunit ribosomal RNA". Lineage: Eukaryota; Viridiplantae; Streptophyta; Magnoliopsida; Poales; Poaceae. The record is from RNAcentral.